CCUACGGGCGGCAGCAGUGGGGAAUAUUGGACAAUGGGGGGAACCCUGAUCCAGCCAUGCCGCGUGUGUGAAGAAGGCCCUCGGGUUGUAAAGCACUUUCAGUGAGGAAGAACGCCUGGUGGUUAAUACCCAUCAGGAAAGACAUCACUCACAGAAGAAGCACCGGCUAACUCCGUGCCAGCAGCCGCGGUAAUACGGAGGGUGCGAGCGUUAAUCGGAAUUACUGGGCGUAAAGCGCGCGUAGGUGGCUUGAUAAGCCGGUUGUGAAAGCCCCGGGCUCAACCUGGGAACGGCAUCCGGAACUGUCAAGCUAGAGUGCAGGAGAGGAAGGUAGAAUUCCCGGUGUAGCGGUGGAAUGCGUAGAGAUCGGGAGGAAUACCAGUGGCGAAGGCGGCCUUCUGGACUGACACUGACACUGAGGUGCGAAAGCGUGGGUAGCAAACAGGAUUAGAUACCCUUGUAGUC
RNAcentral lists this ribosomal RNA (465 nucleotides) under Vreelandella stevensii. Its description in RNAcentral is "partial 16S ribosomal RNA". It matches the Rfam family "Bacterial small subunit ribosomal RNA", at positions 338 to 795 of the family's 1533-position model. The record is from RNAcentral. Lineage: Bacteria; Pseudomonadati; Pseudomonadota; Gammaproteobacteria; Oceanospirillales; Halomonadaceae.